GACAGAGGCCUCAAGCGUUAGGCGGAAUCACUGGGCUUAAAGCGUGUGUAGGCGGAUCGUUAAGUGUCUUGUGAAAUCCCACGGCUCACCCGUGGAACUGCUGGGCAUACUGGCGAUCUUGGGCCAACUAGGGGCAACUGGAACAAGCGGUGGAGCGGUGAAAUGCGUAGAUAUCGCUUGGAACGCCAAAGGUGAAAAUAGGUUGCUGGGGUUGUGCCGACGCUGAGACACGAAAGCCAGGGGAGCAAACGGG
This 253-nucleotide ribosomal RNA is filed under the name uncultured bacterium. Its description in RNAcentral is "partial 16S ribosomal RNA". It matches the Rfam family "Bacterial small subunit ribosomal RNA", at positions 524 to 776 of the family's 1533-position model. The record is from RNAcentral.